This 440-nucleotide ribosomal RNA is filed under the name uncultured bacterium. RNAcentral describes it as "partial 16S ribosomal RNA". It matches the Rfam family "Bacterial small subunit ribosomal RNA", at positions 338 to 795 of the family's 1533-position model. The record is from RNAcentral.
CCUACGGGUGGCAGCAGUGGGGAAUAUUGCACACUGGGGGAAACACUGAUGCAGCGCCGCCGCGUGAGUGAAGAAGUAAUUGGGUAUGUAAAGCUCUAUCAGCAGGGAAGCAAAUGACGGUACCUGAGUAAGACGCCCCGGCUAACUAGGUGACAGCUGCCGCGGGUAUACGUAGGGGGCAAGCGUUAUCCGGAUUUACUGGGUGUAAAGGGAGCGUAGACGGCAGUGCAAGUCUGGAGUGAAAGGCGGGGGCUCAACCCCCGGACUGCUCGGGAUACUGUACGGCUGGAGUGCAUGAGAGGUAAGUGGAAGUCCUAGUGUAGCGGUGAAAUGCGUAGAUAUUAGGAGGAACACCAGUGGCGAAGGCGGCUUACUGGACUGUAACUGACGUUGAGGCUCGAAAGCGUGGGGAGCAAACAGGAUUAGAUACCCCUGUAGUC